RNAcentral lists this long non-coding RNA (249 nucleotides) under Vicia faba (fava bean). The record is from RNAcentral. Lineage: Eukaryota; Viridiplantae; Streptophyta; Magnoliopsida; Fabales; Fabaceae.
AUGUCCCACAACCACAAUAACAUUUCAUCAAGAUUCACUUCAUCAACUGUGUUUGUGGUAGAUGAAACUCUUGUCUAUGAUUCUACUAUUACCAACAACAUUCAAAGAACACGGUCAUUUAAUCCCCACCACAACAACAAUGUUACUAGAGCUUCUUCCCCUUUUAUCGAUGGUCAAAAUACUAGAACUUUUACUGCUGUGGGGAUGGGUGUUCAAGAACAUGUUACAACAUCAACAACAGAUGCAUAA